Molecule: unclassified non-coding RNA, 204 nt
Filed under: plant metagenome
Description: partial contains small subunit ribosomal RNA, internal transcribed spacer 1, and 5.8S ribosomal RNA
Source: RNAcentral
UCUCCGUUGGUGAACCAGCGGAGGGAUCAUUACCGAGUUUACAACUCCCAAACCCUAUGUAAACUAUACCUGUCUACCGUUGCUUCGGCGGGUUCGCCCGCCGAGGAACCGACAAAUAAACUCUUGUAUUUCUAUCUUUAGCAUGACUGAGUGGAAUCAUAAACAAAUGAAUCAAAGCUUUCAACAACGGAUCUCUUGGUUCUG